GGGGGAUCAUCAACAGGCGGCCAGCUGUGGCCACCAGAGGGCGAUGGUCCCGUGGACCGGACAGACAGGGCUUCUCAGGCCAGGGUCUCCUGGAGGAUUUUUGGUCUGGUUCUGUUCUGUUCUGUUUUUUUAGUCAUUUUUAUUGCACUAUAACAUACGUGAAGAAAAGAACACAAAUCAUAAGUUGUACAGCUGUCAGAUUUUUCUCAAAGUGAACAGGAAAGAGUAGCAUCCAAACCUGUGGAAGAACUCAGGCACCAAGGCACUGGAGGGUCAAUAAGCUGCCCAAAGCUUCGUCCUGGUGAGUCACAGCGGCCCAGUGUGGCCCAAUCCUAUAUGAGAGAAAAGAAAGUAAAGAAGAAAGUGGGAUGCUGAGAAACGGAAAGAGCAACCAGCUUUUCUGAUUCAAACGUGUUGGCAGAACUGUGGAAAUUGGAGAAUUGUAUUUCCCUCUUGGAAAUGUGGACACGAGGAAGAGAGGCUGAGCCCUGUGCUGGUGUGCAGAGUGCUGAGGCCAAGAGCACGAUGGUUACGUGUGAGGUGGUAUUAUGGCAACACCAACUGGGAGACACGGAGAAGACGGUUGGGAAGAGCCGAGGGAGUCCUGAAAGAGAUUGCCAGCAGGAGAAAAUUAACUCAGCUCUCGUGGCCUUCCAGCUCCCAAGGCCAGUGUGCAUGAGGCUGACCCUUGUCUUCUUGAAAUGAAGUGUAACUCUUUCAAAGUAGGAAGCUGGGAAUUUUCUCCACUAGAAUCAAGGAGGAGAAUGAAAAGGCAGGAAAUAAGAACUGGGAGAUUUCUUGAGAGUGGAUAUUCUGCUAAGGUCGCUGCCUUAUAAGGGAGUCCUUGACCUGAGGUCCAUGAACUGAUGGGCUGCUGGGAGUGAUGAGCUCCUCAGAAGCUCAGGUAGACGUUUAUGGGCAUUUGUGCAUAACUGCAUUUUAUAGAGGAUAAGAUCUACAAGUUUUAUUCUCAAAGGGACCCACGAACCUAAUAAUUAAAAACAACCACCCUAUGAGAAUAGAACAUUUCAAGAACAUCUAUCUUUCCAAACCCUAGGUAGGAAUUUAAAUAUUUUUAAAAUAAUAAUGACUACAUUAAUCCUCCAGAGAGAAAGAUCA
This 1119-nucleotide long non-coding RNA is filed under the name Equus caballus (horse). RNAcentral describes it as "lncRNA (ENSECAG00000044112.1)". Lineage: Eukaryota; Metazoa; Chordata; Mammalia; Perissodactyla; Equidae. The record is from RNAcentral.